CAAAUCGAUUCAGAAAGACUUUUAUAACAUUUGGUCUUUGAAUAGAGAAAUAAAAAGAGGAAAACAGGAAAAAAAAAUCCCAAAUCCCUUUUUAAUUUUUUUCCCAGAAACGCACCAAAGUGACCAAGGAAGGAAAUGAAGAAGCUAGCGAGAAAUUGGCGAAAAUCUCAUGAAGAGAAGUUAUCUCUCCCAACUCGUGAUGAUCCCUCUCUCGAUGAUUCUCGUCCCUUGGAUACCGAAGAACAAGAGGAGUUGGUCCGAUCGCUUGAAAGGACGCAAGCAGAGCAAUCCCUUUUUUGGAGGAGAGUGUUCGCCGGAUUUCUUUUCAGCUAUGCUGUGUUUCAACUGUACUCCAUUUACCAGAUGGCAACUUCUCCAUGGGAACUGAGGUAUCAGGCUUAUUUCAUGGAAGAUAUGGAGUCGUGGAUGGUAAUAUCUGCAGAUUGGGUAGCUAUUUUAGUUUGCUCAAUGGCCACCUUGGGGCUACUUCAUAAUUCAAAGCAUCGUAGGCGAUGGAUUUGGUACUCAUGCUUUACUGGAGCUAUACUGGCAGUUUUCUGGUUGUAUUACAUGCUGAGGAUGUCAAGAUUCCGAUGGGAUGCAAUCUGGCUUCCAAUUGGACCUCUUAGUGGAGCUGGGAUUUGUCUCUAUGUUGAUCAUCUACUUAAUGAGUCAUCAGAAGAAGUGAGAAAACUUAGAAGCUACAUGUAUGCUUUCAAAUCCAGCUAAAUUUCUGUCCAGCGGCAUUUUCAUUUUCUAGUUGAUUGAGAUUGACCUUAGUUACUAGAAUACUGAUUUGAAAGGGAGGGAAUAGCAUCAUAUAUAGAAACAAGCUAAUUGUACCUUUCUGUAAAACCACUACAGUUUUGAUUAUUUCACGAGUGAUCACAUGAUGGGUGGUGGGCGUGAAGCCCAUACAUUGACGAAGUCGUCAUGAUGCUUUUUUUUUUUCCUCUUCUAAAUUUUACAUCUCCAAAAAUUUAUGGCAACGGUUUUUGCAGACAUUUCCCUUAAAA
This is a non-coding RNA of Jatropha curcas, 1016 nucleotides long. NCBI's taxonomy places the organism in Eukaryota, Viridiplantae, Streptophyta, Magnoliopsida, Malpighiales, Euphorbiaceae. The record is from RefSeq and is a predicted model, not a curated record.